CAGUCGCCACGGUAAUACGAAGGGUGCAAGCGUUACUCGGAAUUACUGGGCGUAAAGCGUGUGUAGGUGGUUGUUUAAGUCUGUCGUGAAAGCCCUGGGCUCAACCUGGGAAUUGCGAUGGAUACUGGGCGACUAGAGUGCGGUAGAGGAUAGUGGAAUUUCCGGUGUAGCAGUGAAAUGCGUAGAGAUCGGAAGGAACAUCUGUGGCGAAGGCGACUAUCUGGGCCAACACUGACACUGAGACACGAAAGCGUGGGGAGCAAACAGGAUUAGAUACCCCAGUAGUCCCUGUCUCUUAUAC
RNAcentral lists this ribosomal RNA (301 nucleotides) under uncultured bacterium. RNAcentral describes it as "partial 16S ribosomal RNA". It matches the Rfam family "Bacterial small subunit ribosomal RNA", at positions 509 to 807 of the family's 1533-position model. The record is from RNAcentral.